UCAGAAACAUGUUGAAUCUCCAAAAAGGUCCAUUCCAGUGUAGAAGCAUCUGUCAUAGAACAAAUGGAAAACUACAUCUGCACCUUCCAGCAGAGACUACGAAAGGAAGAGCUACACAAGAAAGGUAUAGUGUUCUAGUUCUCAGUGGAGUCCAGUAUUGUUGCUACCAUUCUAGAGUAGAAGCAUCUGCCGUAGAACAAAGCGGAGACAUGUAAUUCAGAAAAACUACAUCAUCCCCUUCUAGGGAAGACAACAAAAGGAAGAGCUACAUAAGAAAGGUAUAGAGUUCCAGUUCUAUGGAGUCCAAUACUGUUGCUAUCAUAGGCUUCCCGCUCCGCACCAAGCAUAAGCAGCUCCAAAAAGGUUCCAAUCCAGAUGGGGCUCAGCAUCAUUCUGUAAGGUAUUUCUCCAUCAGUGAUGCAUCCUGUAGUUUAAAAUAAACUCAGGUGAAUCUACGACAAAUAUUAAAACUGCCUCAUUAUUUCAUAUCCAAGGCAGAAGAACUGGCAGGCUCAAACUAUAUUCUCUAUAGUUAUAAUAUAGGUUAUCAAACGGCGAGAAAUAGGCAGGCUAACUAAUAACUUUGGGAACCAGACAUAAAAGACGAUUGCUGCAAAAAAUACAGGCCAUUGGAUUAAAAAGAACUGGCAGGCUCAAUCUAUAUUCUGUUUAGUACCCCAGCUCCCUUUCCAGCAGCAGAGUUUCUUAACUGCAAGUUUUGUUCUAGUCAGAAAUGAAUAUUUGUUUUGUCUGUACAAACUGAAGGGAUGCAUAUAUAGAUGGACAGCAUAAAAAGCAGCACCACUUGUUCCUGGUCACUCAAGCCCGGACAUCCUUAUCAUCCUUUUCUUCAACAGGAGGCGAAGAAGCAUCAGCUUGACCACCAGAGCUCGCCUGGUGCAUGAAAGAAAACCAGUGAAGAGGGAGACAUGUGUAAAUAUGUGGGCAUAUAGCAUAGCCGGCAGGGCACGGCGAUUUGGUACAAAAGGAAACACAAACAUGAGUGCAAUUAAGUAGUUAUAAGCAUAUUAUAGUUCUCUGUUUCAGAAGACAUACCUUGGGGUUGUAGCUUGAAGGAGACCAGUA
RNAcentral lists this long non-coding RNA (1086 nucleotides) under Triticum aestivum (bread wheat). RNAcentral's name for it is "long non-coding RNA (TAES_LNC016093)". Lineage: Eukaryota; Viridiplantae; Streptophyta; Magnoliopsida; Poales; Poaceae. The record is from RNAcentral.